GUAGGGGGCAAGCGUUAUCCGGAUUUACUGGGUGUAAAGGGAGCGUAGACGGAUGGACAAGUCUGAUGUGAAAGGCUGGGGCUCAACCCCGGGACUGCAUUGGAAACUGCCCGUCUUGAGUGCCGGAGAGGUAAGCGGAAUUCCUAGUGUAGCGGUGAAAUGCGUAGAUAUUAGGAGGAACACCAGUGGCGAAGGCGGCUUACUGGACGGUAACUGACGUUGAGGCUCGAAAGCGUGGGGAGCAAACAGGAUUAGAUACCCUGGUAGUCACGCGGUAAACGAUGAAUGCUAGGUGUCGGGUGACAAAGUCAUUCGGUGCCGCCGCAAACGCAUUAAGCAUUCCACCUGGGGAGUACGUUCGCAAGAAUG
This 369-nucleotide ribosomal RNA is filed under the name uncultured bacterium. RNAcentral describes it as "bacterial SSU rRNA". It matches the Rfam family "Bacterial small subunit ribosomal RNA", at positions 527 to 896 of the family's 1533-position model. The record is from RNAcentral.